This 169-nucleotide ribosomal RNA is filed under the name Trimma sp. KAUM:I:99012. RNAcentral describes it as "partial 12S rRNA". Lineage: Eukaryota; Metazoa; Chordata; Actinopteri; Gobiiformes; Gobiidae. RNAcentral also lists the same sequence under 1 other name. The record is from RNAcentral.
CACCGCGGUUACACGAUGGGCCCCAGUUGACAGAGUUCGGCGUAAAGGGUGGUUAAUGAACUAUUGCACUAAAGCCAAACACCUUCAUGGCUGUCCCAAAGCAUAUGAAGGCAGGAGGAUCCCCAACGAAAGUGGCUUUAAAAUACAUGACCCCACGAAAGCUAGGGAA